CGCACACAUGCACACACAUGCACGUACACACACACUAUUCCUAAUGUCCCAGCGCUUCCCUAUCUUGAAUAUCAAUUCACUAUUCUUCAGAGCAUUGCUACUCAGAGUGCAGGCUGAGGACUGGCAGCAUCGGUAUCACCUGGGAGCUUGUUUGAAUUGGUCCCAUCUCAGACCAUCCGAAUUAGAAUCUGCAUUUCCCAAGCCCUGGGGGACUCUGUUACACAUUCAAGCCUGAGACGCACUGCUUUAGAGGCCUCCAACGCCAGACGGCUCAGUGUCAAAACACCACCAACAACACACAUCCUAUGGAAAGUGCUACCAGGUGACAUCUCUUCCCUAUUUUGGCUCCAACACUGUCCCCUUUAGCACACAGCUGGAAUCUAAGAUCCGAAGGAGAAGUUUCUUCUGUGGCUUACGAAGAGAUUGAGAGGCUGGAGACAGGUCAUUGUGAGGCUGCCUGUGAGCGCACUCAACGAGGGAGGAAAUACAGGCAAAUUAACUCUGGGGAGGACCGGGGAUGAGGGGCCUCCACGCCUUGUUCCACUUCGGAAGACGGUGCGAUCUCAUUUUGCCCUGUGCGAUUCCUUAGAAGAUACUCAGCUAGAAGAUUCCUCUGUGAGGCUGCUAGUACUUCUCCAGCAGACCAAGCCAGGAGAGCUUUCUCAAAGGUAAGCUGAUUUUCUCAACACCCGUAAUGAAAGUCAGUCACUCACAUAUAUCAGGGACUUCCUGUGUAUGUCAGGCGUGGUUUUAAGUGCUUUGUUACAUGAUCUGAUUUAAUCCUCACAGCAUCCUAUGUGCAAAACAAAUUUCCAAAACUAGAAGUCUUCAUUUACUCAUUUCUUUAAAAAUAAGCAUUUAUUAAGUGUCUCCUAUUGGUCAGGCUCUGCACUGAGUGUUGAGGAUUUGAAGGCAAAAAAAGACACUGAGUACAUGCGGGAAAAUAGGCCCGUAAGUCAGUAGAGUAGAACACAGUCAGAAGGAGGCAGGGUACUGAGUGGCUGGUGCACUGGUUUCUGAUUCAGAGGAACCUGAAUUGGGAUCCCAGCUCCAAUACUUCUAUUGAAUUUCCUUGGGCAAAAUGUGUGACUUCUCCAGGCCUUGGGUGUCUAAUCCAUAAAGUGGCAAUAAUAAUACUGAUUUUACCAGUUGCUUCAAGGAUUAAAAGACACCCACAUGUCACCCACAUAGCAAGGAGCUGACAUCUAGUAUGUACUUAAUAAAUGGUACUACCUACUCAUUAUUACUGUUCAUGCUGUAACCAUUUAGUCAAGUAUUUUAGAAUUACAAAAAAAUUUCAGAACAUGAAGUUUUCAUCUCUAACAUCAAUCUCGCUCCUUACAGAUUCUACCAGAUUUUCCAGGGGUUCUCAAAGAUUGUCUGCAAACCAGCUCUGAUAAAUGAUUGCAGCUUCUUGAGUCUAUAGAGAGAGACCUUUAUGCUCUCUCUACUAGGAAAAUGUUGAAGACAAUAUAUAAAUUUCUGAAAAGAUUUGAAUGAUUUGAUUUGGCAAAAUAAAGAAUUGCCAAUCCUACAUAGAGCUCCAUACACCAAUUUUUAAAAAUAAUUUUAUUGCUUCACAAAAUCUGGGAACCACUGGAUAUAUGAAGUAUCUCUUUUAGCUAAAGCAAAGUCAACUCUCACCCUCGAAAAAAGUUCAUUUUUUGAUCUGUUUUUAUUUUUCUGUGGCAAAAAGUGCUUUUGUGAUGCCUCUAUGAAUAAAAGACUCAUUUUCCUAAGUGAUGCAUCUGCUUUUAAUGUCUUAAAUGCUGGGAUAGAACAGACAUAUCUUCCCUGGUCUGGGUUUUCUUAAAUAGCCAGAAGUCUUCGUGAUGAAGACAAGCAAGCAUCUAAUAGAGAAAUAACUCCAAGACAAAGUGCCGUGGCUGCACGAUGUCGCCUCCCUGACAACCUAUAAAUGGACCAUAUUGAUGAAGUGAACAGGACUCUCUCUGGUCAUUUUCAACUAGAAACUAAUAAUCCCCGUCAUGAUAUCAGGCAUGCAAUAACCUCGGUUAAGACUAGGUUCAUCAAAUAAAUCACUCAGGAAUUUCUCUAUUUCUUUCUCUGGACACAUUGCACAUCUGCUCAAUGAAAGGAAGAAAGAAGCAAUAUUUCUUUGAUCAGGAAUUUUUUUUUAAUAUUCUUGUAUCCAUCCCUUGGGAUACUAUCUUUUCAAGUGGGUGCAGAUAAUACAUCACUUUCUAAUGAAUGUGGAGAAUUUAUGAAUUUAAGCUAUAAAACCAAAUAUGAGGGAUUUUAGUUUAUCUCAAUCUAUAUUUUACACUGUCAUGAGAAAAUAAACCGGACCACA
Molecule: long non-coding RNA, 2314 nt
Filed under: Homo sapiens (human)
Lineage: Eukaryota; Metazoa; Chordata; Mammalia; Primates; Hominidae
Description: HSALNT0168712
Source: RNAcentral